UUGCCACGUACCAUCCGGCUAUGGAAUGA
Molecule: small RNA, 29 nt
Filed under: Bombyx mori (domestic silkworm)
Lineage: Eukaryota; Metazoa; Arthropoda; Insecta; Lepidoptera; Bombycidae
Description: ovarian small RNA-37825
Source: RNAcentral